Molecule: ribosomal RNA, 468 nt
Filed under: uncultured bacterium
Lineage: Bacteria
Description: partial 16S ribosomal RNA
Rfam family: Bacterial small subunit ribosomal RNA
Source: RNAcentral
GACGAACGCUGGCGGCGUGCUUAACACAUGCAAGUCGAACGGAAAGGCCCUGCUUUUGUGGGGUGCUCGAGUGGCGAACGGGUGAGUAACACGUGAGUAACCUGCCCUUGACUUUGGGAUAACUUCAGGAAACUGGGGCUAAUACCGGAUAGGAGCUCCUGCUGCAUGGUGGGGGUUGGAAAGUUUCGGCGGUGGGGGAUGGACUCGCGGCUUAUCAGCUUGUUGGUGGGGUAGUGGCUUACCAAGGCCUUGACGGGUAGCCGGCCUGAGAGGGUGACCGGCCACAUUGGGACUGAGAUACGGCCCAGACUCCUACGGGAGGCAGCAGUGGGGAAUAUUGCACAAUGGGCGGAAGCCUGAUGCAGCAACGCCGCGUGCGGGAUGACGGCCUUCGGGUUGUAAACCGCUUUCGCCUGUGACGAAGCGUGAGUGACGGUAAUGGGUAAAGAAGCACCGGCUAACUACGUG